GCGCAUUGAGACUUUCGCUUUCACCUUGGAUUGUGAAAAAGAAAACAUUUCGCACGCAGAAUUGUGUUGGAUAUUUUCUUUGUGAUGUGUUGAGGGCUGAAGUUUUGUUCCCUUUCCUUGUGGCAGAUUGCUUCAUAAGGGAUGUUUCCAGACAGUAAAAUAUCCUUCAAGUUCUCCUGUGUGUCAUCAAGCGAUCAAUGUGUAACAAGUUGUCUCCCUGUAAUAUAUCUAUUGAGCUGGAGUCAAGCUUGAACUGAAAAGAGAUAUUUAAGGACUUCAUGGAAUUCAGCGACAUCGAGCCAUUGAAGAUCCUGAAGCUUUCAAGUACAAGAUGAUUAAGCUUAGAAAAGUGUGUUGUCUUCUUCACCAUUGACCUGUCUUGCAGAGUGACUUCAGUUCCCAUGAUUUGUUGAGAAACCAGGACAGGGUGAUGAAGAUAAUAUUGGGUACUUGAGGGAGAUGUUGACUUUGUUGAGGAAUUUCCAUGAGAAGUUUGUUAAAGCAAUGAUCAUAUAGUCUACCAAGGAUCUCACAGCUGUGCCAUUCAAAGACAGCAACUCCCAGCUGAAUGACAACAUCAUUGUCAUGAUGUAAUGACAAGAGCCAUGUAGGUUGUCACCGUGGACCAUGAGGAUGAAAUUCAACCAUCAUCACUACAGAGGGCAUUAAGAAAAAUCUACUAUGCAGGACAUCAAAGGUGCUGGCCAAAUUUCUUUUCAAGGAUAUGGUGGUAUUCAACCUUGGCUUCCCAAAUCCAGCAAAUGGAGGAGAUCUACAUGUACCACCAACUGCCCUAACUGUGCUAGCACAGAGAUUCACUUCCCUAGUGCCCCAGGAUCAAUGGGAAUAAAUGAAAGAGGAAUUCAUGGACUACCAAACAACUCCUGCUGUGGACCUCCCAAGUUUUGUGGAAAACACAAAAACAGAUGUCUACUGCAUGGGAUAGAAUUCUGGACAAAAGAAAUAAAAUUUCCAGUGAUUAUUAGGGCUGGGACUAUAUAUAUCGAGAUAUCUGUGAGGACGAUAGGCAUAUCGAUACAUGUGAAGAAAUAUCGAAAUAUUGUCCCAAAAAAUCUGACUUCCAUUUUUAAAUGUUUAUUUAACAUUUGGGGUUUAAUGUAUAAAAUAAUUAAGCUAAAUAUAAAUAUAGAUUUGAAAUAAAU
Molecule: long non-coding RNA, 1163 nt
Organism: Saccostrea cuccullata (small rock oyster)
Lineage: Eukaryota; Metazoa; Mollusca; Bivalvia; Ostreida; Ostreidae
Exons: 5
Source: RefSeq, a predicted model, not a curated record